GCAUAAUCAUUUGCCUUUUAAUUAAAGGCUAGUAUGAAAGGAUUUACGUAAUUCUCCCUAUAUUAAUUUUAUUUUUUAAAACCUAAAUCUCAGGUGAAGAUGCCUGAAUUUAUUUGAAAGACAAGAAGACCCUAUAGAGUUUUAGUACUUUUCCUCUUUACCACCACUUUAAUUGGGGCGAUUAAGGAUUUAUAAUUUACAUCCUAAAAUUUUAAAGAAUUUAUAUUUCUUCAUAUUAAUCCUUCAUAAAAGAAUUUAAAAUAAACUACCUUAGGGAUAACAGGCUUAUCUUCCUAAAGAGUCCAAAUUAACAGGAAGGUUUGGCACCUCGAUGUUGGCUUAGAGUAACCUUAUAAAGCAAAAAUUAUAUAGGUUAGUUUGUUCAACUAAUAAUUCUCU
RNAcentral lists this ribosomal RNA (399 nucleotides) under Polynoidae sp. 655-4 PB. RNAcentral's name for it is "partial 16S ribosomal RNA". It matches the Rfam family "Bacterial large subunit ribosomal RNA", at positions 1959 to 2597 of the family's 2925-position model. Lineage: Eukaryota; Metazoa; Annelida; Polychaeta; Phyllodocida; Polynoidae. RNAcentral also lists the same sequence under 1 other name. The record is from RNAcentral.